CUACGGGAUGCACCAGUGGGGAAUAUUGCACAAUGGGCGCAAGCCUGAUGCAGCCAUGCCGCGUGUAUGAAGAAGGCCUUCGGGUUGUAAAGUACUUUCAGCGGGGAGGAAGGGAGUAAAGUUAAUACCUUUGCUCAUUGACGUUACCCGCAGAAGAAGCACCGGCUAACUCCGUGCCAGACAGCCGCGGUAAUACGGAGGGUGCAAGCGUUAAUCGGAAUUACUGGGCGUAAAGCGCACGCAGGCGGUUUGUUAAGUCAGAUGUGAAAUCCCCGGGCUCAACCUGGGAACUGCAUCUGAUACUGGAAAGCUUGAGUCUCGUAGAGGGGGGUAGAAUUCCAGGUGUAGCGGUGAAAUGCGUAGAGAUCUGGAGGAAUACCGGUGGCGAAGGCGGCCCCCUGGACGAAGACUGACGCUCAGGUGCGAAAGUGUGGGGAGCAAACAGGAUUAGAUACCCUCGUAGUC
This 465-nucleotide ribosomal RNA is filed under the name uncultured bacterium. RNAcentral's name for it is "partial 16S ribosomal RNA". It matches the Rfam family "Bacterial small subunit ribosomal RNA", at positions 339 to 795 of the family's 1533-position model. The record is from RNAcentral.